GAGUGAGAGCGGAUCAUGGAACCUUGCUCCCUGAUGUUAGCGGCGGACGGGUGAGUAACACGUGGGUAACCUGCCUGUAAAACUGGGAUAACUCCGGGAAACCGGGGCUAAUACCGGAUGCUUGUUUGAACCGCAUGGUUCAAACAUAAAAGGUGGCUUCGGCUACCACUUACAGAUGGACCCGCGGCGCAUUAGCUAGUUGGUGAGGUAAUGGCUCACCAAGGCAACGAUGCGUAGCCGACCUGAGAGGGUGAUCGGCCACACUGGGACUGAAACACGGCCCAGACUCCUACGGGAGGCAGCAGUAGGGAAUCUUCCGCAAUGGACGAAAGUCUGACGGAGCAACGCCGCGUGAGUGAUGAAGGUUUUCGGAUCGUAAAGCUCUGUUGUUAGGGAAGAACAAGUACCGUUCGAAUAGGGCGGUACCUUGACGGUACCUAACCAGAAAGC
Molecule: ribosomal RNA, 450 nt
Filed under: Bacillus sp. (in: firmicutes)
Lineage: Bacteria; Bacillati; Bacillota; Bacilli; Caryophanales; Bacillaceae
Description: bacterial SSU rRNA
Rfam family: Bacterial small subunit ribosomal RNA
Source: RNAcentral